CCCCUCCGCCCACAGAUCGUCCCUCUCAGCCGCCAAAUGUGACGUCAACAUGAAUGGCAGGGUGAGCGCUGCCGACACUCCGUAAGACCAGCCAAUGUUUGUUGGCAAUCGUAGAAUUGGAGUUGUGUUAGAAUAUUUCUUGUGACGACGCCCGAUAGCGCCGCAACUGCAGUGGAGUCAUUAAUGUACUUCUCGCUCAUCAGUGCCGUACGUUUGAUCGUGACGUUGGCAGAAGCAGAAGACUUAGUGAGUCAUCGGGAGACGUCGAAGUGGACUGUACCCUAAAGAUCACGAGAAAUUUCGCGUAAAUCAUAACUCUGCCCAAAUUGCAACGAAAUAAAGGAAAAUAGUCUUUGAAAAACUAUACCGGCUGUCAUCAACUAAUAGUACAAUAAAACUAUCAAGCGUUCGGAAUAAUAGAAUUAUGGUAUUAUGGAAGAUUAAGAAAUUAUGGGCAAAAUUCUGCUCAGAGUACGCAAAAAUUGGUUAAAGGUUCAAGCAGAUAUUGCCGUUUUAGAAAAACAUGUCGAGUCUUUCUUUUUUUUAUCCUGAGAUGCACUCUAUUAUUUAGAUAUGCCUUUGGAGAAGGAAACGCGUGAAAUGUCACACAGAAGGUUACUCGCAUAACCGCAAAGGUUUGAUAAGUCGUACAUACGAGCACCUUUUCUUCUUAGCAUUUGAAAUCAUAUCAGACGACUCGCAGUAAUCAUGAUGAGUUUUCAGAUGUAAGCCUAUCGAAGAGGGUCGGUAACUGCCACUUGCUUCAUCACAUUGUGACAUUAUUGCUAUCUACGGGCAGAUCUAUGUGGUAGAAAAGAAAUUUGUGUUCUGUUUCGCUGCACUCGUGACGUCAAACUAACGAUGACUCAUACACUUGACGACGCCGGAAGUGAUUGAAGAAAAGUUGGAAAAUGACAGACGAGAUUCGUCGAGUUCAGAGAGAACACUUUCCGAAACCUAGAUGUUUAAGACGCUUAAUUGCUACCUGGGACCCGCUAUUAUUUUUGGAACCACUUGGGUGAUACCAAAAUGCCUGGAGAGGUCAUCGCGUUCGUGUGCAUCUUGUGAAUUUGCUGCUGCUGCUGCUGCUGCACGAGUGUAUGCAGCUUUUGAGGUCGCGAUUGGAUUGGGCGUUGGUUCAGAUAUGUUCAAACGUCGGGUAGGCUCCUACUAUGAACCAACUACGAAAGCUUCCGUGACAUUAGUUACCGUGCUACUGUAUGUGUAUUCAGGCGAUACCUUGAUUGCUUUCGAUGGAUCAAAAGUAACCAGCCUUAUGUUCGAUGAUAUUUUAGGGUAAUCGAAGUCAACUUGUUAUCAAGAACGUCUAUUCAUAGAUGUUCGUAUUUGAUUGCAAAUGAAGCUUUCAAUGAUUCACCUGUGUCAGCAAUUGGUUGCAAAUACUUCAUCAGGCAGGAUGUGCUGACAUAUACAAAUAUACUAUGUAUAUUAGUAGGGUUGAAAUUUAUAUGAGCAAUAUCAAGGGACAAAUUUGUACGUGAUAUCAAAUGCCGACUCGAAUGGGAGUAGGAAAUUUUGAGUCUUCGGUCCGUUGGCAGCAAGCAGAAGGUCUGCCGCUCUCAUGCCGGUCAUAAACUUCAUGCCCAGGCGGGUAUGCCGAUUUGUCAGAAAUAGGCGUUUUUCCUCAACGGAAAAAGUGUUUUCCUCCGGGCGCAGCCAACGGAGCACUGAUGUUUUGUAAUGAAAUUACGGCUUUAGAAUUGUUUUACAGAAGUUAUUCAACUCACUAUUUAGUUAUAUUUCUUCUUACAGACCGUAAUCAAGCAAAUACCACGGUAAAAAUGUCACAUCGAUUUUCCUUAAGUUAUCUUGAUUUUCAUAUCUUUUUUAGACAAAAUAGGCCCUUUAUUUGGCUUCUCAUUUUUCGGAUUGUACCUCUACGCAGGAUAGUGCACUCCUGCAGAGCCAUAUUACGGGCGUUUAUUCCAAUGGUUAACAAGUGUCAACUGGAUGAAGCACCGCGACAGUUUUCUAUGAAGGAACAGAGCCAUCUGAUUGCCCUACGACUCCUGAACGAUCUCAGAAAGUAGGCAUUUCCUCUGUUAUAGAAAAAAUUGUUAUUUUUUUUAAGUUUCUCAUUGUAGACUUGGUUCCGCUUAAGUUACGAUGGAAUGAAGAUAUACAUUGAUACAGUGGCUAUAGCCAUAAGAAUAUAAUUCAAUAAUUUAAUACCGGCACAAGGACCAAUAAUUCAACUGACUGAUUUUCAGAUUACCAUUAUAUUUACCGUUAUUACGAUAUAACCUUCUAUGAUGGCGGACAGGUGUUCUCCGUGCCGGUAGUUGAUGAGAGGGAAUAAUAUAAUUUCUCCUUCCAAUCUCUAACCGUACUUUAUGGCUGUUAAUAAUAUGAUAAUAUGGACUAAGAUACUGGUCCAAUAUAUUAGCAUUAUAUUAUCAUAUGUAUAUCAAUAUCAACAUAAUAGUGUCCUACUAAAACAAACGUGCACUGUCCUAAAAGUGGCCUAAAGACUAGUUGUAAUCGUAUAACAAGCAAGCCAUGCUCUUCAGUAGGUUCUACAGCGGUUAGCGCAAAUGCUUUUUUAUUUGUUUAUUUAAAUUUUUUUUAUCUAGUAUUCGGGAUUGGUGAUAUCGAGAUUACCGUAAAGUUCGUCCCAGCUAGAAAAAUUAGUGUUACUUUCAACAUAUGCAUAUUCUACUAAUUCGGAAGUUGUUAAACUCUUUGGAAGUCAAACGAAGGAAAGCUUUAAUGGUUCAUUUUUGCGUUAAGAAGAAGGUAAUCUUUCAUAUAUUUUACCAAAGGUAGGCGUUCCAAGGUUUCCUGCAUCGACAAACGUGAGCCAUCCAUGUUUGCCGAUGCAGGCAUCUUUGCAUAUUUUGUUGUACAAGACGUGCGCAGCGUAGAUCUUCAUAAGGCGCUCAAGGUCUCUAAAGUGUUUCCUAAUGAUGUGCUGCAAUUAGUGGUCGCUAGGCUAGGACUUGCCAUUCAGCUUCUACAUUUCAAAGGUUCUAUUCAUCGUGAUGUUGAAGUAUGCACACCGUUUUACAUGAAAACCCUUUAUAUAUUUCUCUCGAGUAUGGAAUACUGUUAAUGCAUAAUUUUCGCGUUCAGUCAGCUAGCUAAUGUCUGGCUGUCCUGAAAUUUUGUCUAUUUGCUAGACUUCAAACGCAGUAAUUAUGCCUGAUUGCCGCGUUAAACUAAUCGAUUUUGACACUGCUAAGGCUAUGCGAAGGCCGAUACGUAAGCCUGACUGCCUAUUGACAAAUGAGACGGUUAAAAAAACCGUAUGGGAGAGCCAUCGAUCGGUAUGUAUCCCUUCGAGUCGUGCGCGUGUUAUCGUCAAACGCGGAAAUGCGAAGUAACGAACUGCUUAAUUUAGGAACUUUAGGAAAAGCUUAAUUUAGGAAAAGGAUAAGAAGCUUUGAAAUAACGGCGAUCUUUCCGCACACCUAGUCUUGUACAUCUGGUUAUUAAAAUGGAGCUUAUUAGAACUUCCACAGGCCGAUGUGCGAAAAUGCGUAGCUAGUUUCCUGCUAACAAUUGAUCCAACCUAGAUGGGCUGUCGGAGUGACCGUGUUCCAGCUGGCAAACGGAUGGACACCCUUUCGUAAGACAAAAGUGGUUAGUCAGCUCCAAGACAAUAUUUGUCAGGGUCGGUUGAAACAGAACCCUGUAGCUCAUCUGCAACCGGAGGACAAGGCCCAUAUGUCAAGCCUUCUUCACCGCAACCCACGGGGUUACCUUCGAAAGAUUAUUUAGGUCAAUACUAGCCAACGACUUCGCCUGAGGCAGAAAAAAAAGAAGCAAAAAUGGUUUAGCGUUGAAGUUUUCAAGGUCAGUAAGGUGCGACGUCUAUGAUGUCGCAAUAAUGAAAAUUCGAUUAGCGCUGCCAAGUCCAGUGUUAACUUUAACAUUUCUGACGAUGUCUAGGAAACGUUUACUGUACACAUUACGGACUUCCUUAAACUUGUCCUACAGGAUUGGCACCGCGACUAGGUUUUUUAAAAUACGAUCUGCUUUUACUAAAAACAGUAUACGUAUUAAUCACAUGGGCAAGCCCGUGUGGGUCCGCUAGGUAAAACUUAAAUUAAAAAAAAAGUGCGCUUGCGUAAUCCUAUAGGAGGUGAAAAAGCAUAACAAGCUGUAUACUUUGACAGCAAGACGCUUCUCAGAGUGCAUUCAAAAGCAUAGAGCUGAUAUAGUUGUCGAAGCGGAAGACGUCUUCGAGGAGCCCGAACUUCCUACAGGCCUUUCUCUUUAGCCUUCCUUUUUUUGCGAAAUCCGAAAUACUCGUCAAACCAGUCAGUAUCGCAUCACAGACGCAGCAAAAGAGCUCAAACAGCCGAUUCUCAACAAGGUGUUCAGUCUCAACAGCAAGGUACUCUUUGUGUGAAUUUCGCUCUAACUUUAAAUUAGUUAAAUAAUAGCAAAUUUAGCUUGUCAAAAGCCGAACUUGACAUUGUUCAUAAUGUGGCAGCAGGGUCACUUGCAGUAUAAAGCGGGGUUCUUCGCAGUAUGUACUCGCGUUAUUUAAUCUUAAAAUAAAAAAAGGUAGAAAAUUUUCAUUUUACAUUUUCUGCGCACAGCAAAAAAGGUUUUUACUGCUGUAGCUGCUAUAGUUUGAUGAAUAAUAUAUGCGAUCAAAGCCUUUCCAAUAAAUAUUGAAACUGGUAUCAUGCCCGAUCGAAUAUUUUACUCAUUCAUUGCUAGAACUACUCGGGAUUCUACAGGACUUUUAAAUCCCUUGAUUUUGAAUUUGCAAUGAUCUCCCACGUUUUUAUACAUACAAUUUUAAAAUGAAGAGAAGCGCGUUUAUCCUUUGCCUAUAAAUUUCAUCGAUAGAAACUCUGCGAGCUAUGAACUAUAGAAGAUCCAAGCAGUUCUUAUACAAUUUACCAAGGCUUCAGGUCCAAAAUGUAAAAUUCGUAUUUUAUUCAAAUAGUUGUAGUUUUAAUUGUUUUCGAUGGGAAAAUGUUUUUUGGAGCCAUCAAGCUGUGGGCGUUUGUAUAGUUUCCAUUUACGCGCAGAAGCCAACGGUCUCACAGCAGGCUGCUUGCAUACAUUUCAUUUUACGAUUCUUCAUUUAUGCAUCAUCCGUUGCAGGCGUUAAAACAGUUUUCUGCAUUUUAUUACGGUCUCUUAAUCAUAACGUGGAAAAGGUAGUUCUUGCCCGAGCGAUUUCGGAAUUGUCGUUAGCGUAGCACGAUACUGGAGUUCAACUCAAUUACAAAAUCAGGUUCCGGUAGUCAUUCAGACGAUGCGUAGAAUGAACGCUCAUUCCAGGGUAACUAUUUAAGCAAUUUUUGUUAUAAGCUAUUACAGCGUCCUAUUUGGGUUUUUUUAUUGUUGACGUCUUACCGUCAUCAAGUUUCUGAUUGAACCAUGGCGGUAAAAUUGAAUUGGUAUAUCAUCACGACAACAACCAUGUUUUCAGAUUUUCCCUGGCGAUGUAAUCACAGGAAUAUCCUUGGAACCUGUCCCGAAAAUUAUUACGCCAGAAGUGCUAAAUUACUUCCGAACUAGAAAGGAUUUUCUUUUGGUAAGUUAUUUUCAGGUGACAGAUCUCUUGUUGAAUGUUUUUGUGCAUCCCUAAAAUUCCGAAAAUUGUAAGUUUGUACACCUUAAGGUAGCGCAUUUGUUGAUGUCACGACAGAUAUUUAACAUAAUAAAAUUUACGGACGAAAGGUGGAUUAGGCUUGCGUGUAUAAGCUUUUUUUUUUAUCUCUAAAAUAUGUGAACAAUAAUAUCGGAGGAUCGUGAACGAAGGUCAACCAGUUAAUACACUGAGAUAUUAAUAGCUUCGGGUGGCACUAGUAUCUGGUUUGCGGGAUUUGCGCGGCGGAUACGGCUCCGGUGACGCCGAAGAGAUAGAAUGGCUUGAAGAUGAGCUGUUCAAGAAGAUCAAAACGGCCGGGUACGGGACGAAACAACCGUCUUACUUAUCGGAUUUGAAACUCGAGGAGGCUAGUCGACGCACUGCACUUUGACGUACCAGGACAUGAUGUUGCAAGUCAAGCACCAGGAAUAUAAUAAAGAUACAAAACAAUGCAGGGAGGUUAUAGCAGACGAACCGGUCUUGACGUGAGCGAUUUUUCAGCUAUUUGAUAAACAACAUGUGCUUAAGAUGCAAAUAAGCAUACUUGUAUUUCGAACACUCUGCGGAAGUGAGAAUUCUAAAGAGCACGUGCAUUUGGGCAGUUGUGUUGCAGCUCACGGCCAAUUUCGUGUGUGUUUCACAUGGAUUUUUUAGUCUGCAAAAAGAAUUUCUGGAUCAGAACAUUUGUGAAUUAAUGAUUUACAAGUUAAGCUCGAGUACAUAGGAAGUACUUACGGUGUAG
Varroa destructor (honeybee mite) is the source of this 6320-nucleotide long non-coding RNA. The record is from RefSeq and is a predicted model, not a curated record. Lineage: Eukaryota; Metazoa; Arthropoda; Arachnida; Mesostigmata; Varroidae.